RNAcentral lists this non-coding RNA (89 nucleotides) under Aeromicrobium sp. Root344. RNAcentral describes it as "ZMP/ZTP riboswitch aptamer (pfl RNA motif)". It matches the Rfam family "ZMP/ZTP riboswitch aptamer (pfl RNA motif)". Rfam says of the family: Previously known as pfl RNA. ZMP is also known as AICAR. The record is from Rfam by way of RNAcentral. RNAcentral also lists the same sequence under 1 other name. Lineage: Bacteria; Bacillati; Actinomycetota; Actinomycetes; Propionibacteriales; Nocardioidaceae.
GCAGUCGGUCGCGACUGGCGUUGAGGUGGGUACCACCGGGGAGCGACUGCAGAAACCGGACAUCGGGACCGUUCGCCUGGGCCCCACGU